This 859-nucleotide ribosomal RNA is filed under the name uncultured bacterium. RNAcentral's name for it is "bacterial SSU rRNA". It matches the Rfam family "Bacterial small subunit ribosomal RNA", at positions 8 to 857 of the family's 1533-position model. The record is from RNAcentral.
AGAGUUUGAUCCUGGCUCAGGAUGAACGCUAGCGGCAGGCUUAACACAUGCAAGUCGAGAGGCAUCGGGAGGGAAGCUUGCUUUCCUUGCCGGCGACCGGCGCACGGGUGAGUAACACGUAUGCAACCUGCCCUCUUCAGGGGGACAACCUUCCGAAAGGGAGGCUAAUCCCGCGUAUAUCGGUUUCGGGCAUCCGAGAUCGAGGAAAGAUUCAUCGGAAGAGGAUGGGCAUGCGGCGCAUUAGCUAGACGGCGGGGUAACGGCCCACCGUGGCGACGAUGCGUAGGGGUUCUGAGAGGAAGGUCCCCCACACUGGUACUGAGACACGGACCAGACUCCUACGGGAGGCAGCAGUGAGGAAUAUUGGUCAAUGGGAGAGAUCCUGAACCAGCCAAGCCGCGUGAGGGAAGACGGCCCUAUGGGUUGUAAACCUCUUUUGUCGGAGAACAAAACCCGGGACGAGUCCCGGACUGCGUGUAUCCGAAGAAAAAGCAUCGGCUAACUCCGUGCCAGCAGCCGCGGUAAUACGGAGGAUGCGAGCGUUAUCCGGAUUUAUUGGGUUUAAAGGGUGCGUAGGCGGUCCGUUAAGUCAGCGGUAAAAUUGCGGGGCUCAACCCCGUCGAGCCGUUGAAACUGGCAGACUUGAGUUGGCGAGAAGUACGCGGAAUGCGCGGUGUAGCGGUGAAAUGCAUAGAUAUCGCGCAGAACUCCGAUUGCGAAGGCAGCGUACCGGCGCCAGACUGACGCUGAGGCACGAAAGCGUGGGGAUCGAACAGGAUUAGAUACCCUGGUAGUCCACGCAGUAAACGAUGAAUGCUGGUUGUCCGGGUCGAAUGAGACCUGGGCGGCGAAACGAAAG